UACGUAGGCAGCGAGCGUUGUUCGGAGUUACUGGGCGUAAAGAGUGCGUAGGCGGUUUUCUAAGUUUGGUGUGAAAUCUCCCGGCUUAACUGGGAGGGUGCGCCGAAGACUGGAAGGCUUGAGUAUGGGAGAGGUAAGCGGAAUUCCUGGUGUAGCGGUGAAAUGCGUAGAGAUCGGGAGGAACAUCAGUUGCGAAGGCGGCUCUCUGGACCAGCACUGACACUGAGGCACGAAAGCGUGGGGAGCAAACAGG
RNAcentral lists this ribosomal RNA (253 nucleotides) under uncultured bacterium. RNAcentral's name for it is "partial 16S ribosomal RNA". It matches the Rfam family "Bacterial small subunit ribosomal RNA", at positions 524 to 776 of the family's 1533-position model. The record is from RNAcentral.